GACGAACGCUGGCGGCGUGCUUAACACAUGCAAGUCGAACGGAAAGGCCCUGCUUUUGUGGGGUGCUCGAGUGGCGAACGUGUGAGCAACACGUGAGUAACCUGCCCUUGACUUUGGGAUAACUUCAGGAAACUGGGGCUAAUACCGGAUAGGAGCUCCUGCUGCAUGGUGGGGGUUGGAAAGUUUCGGCGGUUGGGGAUGGACUCGCGGCUUAUCAGCUUGUUGGUGGGGUAGUGGCUUACCAAGGCUUUGACGGGUAGCCGGCCUGGGAGGGUGACCGGCCACAUUGGGACUGAGAUACGGCCCAGCCUCCUACGGGAGGCAGCAGUGGGGAAUAUUGCACAAUGGGCGGAAGCCUGAUGCAGCACCGCCGCGUGCGGGAUGACGGCCUUCGGGUUGUAAACCGCUUUCGCCUGUGACGAAGCGUGAGUGACGGUAAUGGGUAAAGAAGCACCGGCUAACUACGUG
RNAcentral lists this ribosomal RNA (468 nucleotides) under uncultured bacterium. RNAcentral's name for it is "partial 16S ribosomal RNA". It matches the Rfam family "Bacterial small subunit ribosomal RNA", at positions 28 to 507 of the family's 1533-position model. The record is from RNAcentral.